Molecule: long non-coding RNA, 613 nt
Organism: Chenopodium quinoa (quinoa)
Lineage: Eukaryota; Viridiplantae; Streptophyta; Magnoliopsida; Caryophyllales; Amaranthaceae
Exons: 2
Source: RefSeq, a predicted model, not a curated record
UCUUAGUAAAUCAAACUUUAGUACUCGUACUAAAUUUAUUAAAAAAAAACAAAAAAACCUUUAGGAAGUAAAUAAAUUCGGAUCCCCCACCUAACUAACCCUAACUAUUCUUCAUUUCUCUUAGAUCAGUCGCCCCAUUCUCUUCUUUUCUUCUUUUUCUUCCAUUGAAGCCUCCCUACAUAAACACUACAUUUAUUAUCUUUUUCCUCCAUUGAGGCCUCCUCUUUCUUAGCUUUCUAUUCAAGCGCGCAGAUGUUGAGCAUUCUUUUAUCGAUCUAUUAAGGGAGCAUGCAAUUAACGGUACAAAUCAAUAUUCAACAAUUGAAUUUAAAGAAUCUAACAACAUGAUGGAAGUAUAUCAAUUUUUGUAUGGAGAAAAUCGUCAUUUGUUUAGUGGUUUUAGAUAAUUAGUUAUUGUAAAAGUUUUUUAUUAUGUAUGUAAUUUUAUAUGGCAAUAAUAUUAAGUAUAAUUUUUUUUUUUGAGCUUGUAGUAUUAAUUAUGUGGGAUUUGUAACUGUAUUAAUCUACGAAAGGCAUGAAAUAGAAUUAUUGUAUAUGAUUGUUGUAUAGCUAUCAUAUUCAUAUAUACGAAGUAGUACAUAUUUGACAGUUA